GUGAUUAGCAGGCGGUGAGGAAACCUUCGGGGCUGAGGGAGGGGGUGUGGCCCAUCAGCUAGUUGGUAGGGUAACGGNCUACCAAGGCAAAGACGGGUAGGGGGCCUGAGAGGGUGACCCCCCACACGGGCACUGAGACACGGGCCCGACUUCUACGGAAGGCAGCAGUGAGGGAUAUUGCCCAAUGGACGGAAGUCUGAGGCAGCAACGCCGCGUGCGGGAAUGAAGGCCUUCGGGUUGUAAACCGCUUUUCUGCGCGAAGAGGAAGGACGGUAGCGCAGGAAGAAGUCUCGGAUAACUACGUGCCAGCAGCACGCGGGUAAAACCGUAGGAGGCCGAGCGUUAUCCGGAUUUACUGGGUGUAAAGCGCGUGCAAGGCGGUCAAUGUAAGUGGUGCGUUGAAAGCGCCCCGGCUCAACCGGGGCGAGGCCGUGCCAAAAUUGGCGUGACUGGAGGGCAGGUUAAAGGCGCGUGGAAUCCCGGGUUGUAGUGGUGAAAUGCGUAGAUAUCCGGAGGAACACCAGUGGGCGAAGCCGGCGCGCUGGGCCUGACCUGACGCUAAGACGCGAAAGCAUGGGGAGCGAACGGGAUUAGAAACCCCGGUAGUCCAUGCUGUAAACGCUGCAGACUAGGUGUUGCGUGCGACGAGUAUGCAGUGCCGAAGCCAACGUGAUAAGUCUGCCACCUGGGGACUACGGCCGCAAGGUUAAAACUCAAAGGAAUUGACGGGGGCCCGCACAAGCAGCGGAGCGUGUGGUUUAAUUCGAGGCUACACGAAGAACCUUACCUGGGCUUGACAUGGCGGUGGUAGGGAACCGAAAGGGGACCGACCUUCGGGAGCCGUCACAGGUGCUGCAUGGCUGUCGUCAGCUCGUGUCGUGAGAUGUUCGGUUAAGUCCGGUAACGAGCGCAACCCUCGCCGCUAGUUACAAGUGUCUAGCGGGACUGCCCGUUGAACGCGGGAGGAAGGUGGGGAUGACGUCAAGUCAGCAUGGCCUUUAUGUCCAGGGCUACACACACGCUACAAUGGCCGGUACAAUGGGUCGCCAACCCGCGAGGGGGAGCCAAUCCAUCAAAGCCGGUCUCAGUUCGGAUUGCAGGCUGCAACCCGCCUGCAUGAAGUCGGAGUUGCUAGUAACCGCAGGUCAGCUAUACUGCGCUGAAUACGUUCCCGGGCCUUGUACGCACCGCCCGUCACGUCAUGGGAGCUGGUCA
RNAcentral lists this ribosomal RNA (1215 nucleotides) under uncultured organism. Its description in RNAcentral is "bacterial SSU rRNA". It matches the Rfam family "Bacterial small subunit ribosomal RNA", at positions 184 to 1417 of the family's 1533-position model. The record is from RNAcentral.